ACGCUGGCGGCGUGCUUAACACAUGCAAGUCGAACGAUGAAGCCUAGCUUGCUAGGUGGAUUAGUGGCGAACGGGUGAGUAAUACGUGAGUAACCUACCUUUAACUCUGGGAUAAGCCUGGGAAACUGGGUCUAAUACCGGAUACGACCAAUCUCCGCAUGGGGUGUUGGUGGAAAGCGUUAUGUAGUGGUUAUAGAUGGGCUCACGGCCUAUCAGCUUGUUGGUGAGGUAACGGCUCACCAAGGCGACGACGGGUAGCCGGCCUGAGAGGGUGACCGGCCACACUGGGUCUGAGACACGGCCCAGACUCCUACGGGAGGCAGCAGUGGGGAAUAUUGCACAAUGGGCGCAAGCCUGAUGCAGCGACGCCGCGUGAGGGAUGACGGCCUUCGGGUUGUAAACCUCUGUUAGCAGGGAAGAAGAGAGAUUGACGGUACCUGCAGAGAAAGCGCCGGCUAACUACGUGCCAGCAGCCGCGGUAAUACGUAGGGCGCGAGCGUUGUCCGGAAUUAUUGGGCGUAAAGAGCUUGUAGGCGGUUUGUCGCGUCUGCUGUGAAAGGCCGGAGCUUAACUCCGUGUAUUGCAGUGGGUACGGGCAGACUAGAGUGCAGUAGGGGAGACUGGAAUUCCUGGUGUAGCGGUGGAAUGCGCAGAUAUCAGGAGGAACACCGAUGGCGAAGGCAGGUCUCUGGGCUGUAACUGACGCUGAGAAGCGAAAGCAUGGGGAGCGAACAGGAUUAGAUACCCUGGUAGUCCAUGCCGUAAACGUUGGGCACUAGGUGUGGGGGACAUUCCACGUUUUCCGCGCCGUAGCUAACGCAUUAAGUGCCCCGCCUGGGGAGUACGGCCGCAAGGCUAAAACUCAAAGAAAUUGACGGGGGCCCGCACAAGCGGCGGAGCAUGCGGAUUA
RNAcentral lists this ribosomal RNA (910 nucleotides) under uncultured bacterium. RNAcentral describes it as "bacterial SSU rRNA". It matches the Rfam family "Bacterial small subunit ribosomal RNA", at positions 33 to 948 of the family's 1533-position model. The record is from RNAcentral.